This 253-nucleotide ribosomal RNA is filed under the name uncultured bacterium. RNAcentral describes it as "partial 16S ribosomal RNA". It matches the Rfam family "Bacterial small subunit ribosomal RNA", at positions 524 to 776 of the family's 1533-position model. The record is from RNAcentral.
UACGUAGGGUGCGAGCGUUGUCCGGAAUUAUUGGGCGUAAAGAGCUUGUAGGCGGUCUGUCGCGUCUGCUGUGAAAAUCCGGGGCUCAACCCCGGACUUGCAGUGGGUACGGGCAGACUAGAGUGUGGUAGGGGAGACUGGAAUUCCUGGUGUAGCGGUGAAAUGCGCAGAUAUCAGGAGGAACACUGGUGGCGAAGGCGGGACUCUGGGCCGAUACUGACGCUGAGGAGCGAAAGCGUGGGGAGCAAACAGG